ACUCCUACGGGAGGCAGCAGUGGGGAAUAUUGCACAAUGGGGGAAACCCUGAUGCAGCCAUGCCGCGUGUGUGAAGAAGGCCUUCGGGUUGUAAAGCACUUUCAGUAGGGAGGAAGGUAGUGUAGUUAACACCUGCAUUAUUUGACGUUACCUACAGAAGAAGCACCGGCUAACUCCGUGCCAGCAGCCGCGGUAAUACGGAGGGUGCGAGCGUUAAUCGGAAUUACUGGGCGUAAAGCGCAUGCAGGCGGCCUGUUAAGUCAGAUGUGAAAGCCCGGGGCUUAACCUCGGAAUUGCAUUUGAAACUGGCAGGCUAGAGUCUUGUAGAGGGGGGUAGAAUUUCAGGUGUAGCGGUGAAAUGCGUAGAGAUCUGAAGGAAUACCAGUGGCGAAGGCGGCCCCCUGGACAAAGACUGACGCUCAGAUGCGAAAGUGUGGGGAGCGAAACAGGAUUAGAUACCCUGGUAGGAUAGCG
RNAcentral lists this ribosomal RNA (474 nucleotides) under uncultured bacterium. RNAcentral describes it as "bacterial SSU rRNA". It matches the Rfam family "Bacterial small subunit ribosomal RNA", at positions 335 to 799 of the family's 1533-position model. The record is from RNAcentral.